This 464-nucleotide ribosomal RNA is filed under the name Vreelandella stevensii. RNAcentral describes it as "partial 16S ribosomal RNA". It matches the Rfam family "Bacterial small subunit ribosomal RNA", at positions 338 to 795 of the family's 1533-position model. The record is from RNAcentral. Lineage: Bacteria; Pseudomonadati; Pseudomonadota; Gammaproteobacteria; Oceanospirillales; Halomonadaceae.
CCUACGGGUGGCAGCAGUGGGGAAUAUUGGACAAUGGGCGAAAGCCUGAUCCAGCCAUGCCGCGUGUGUGAAGAAGGCCUUCGGGUUGUAAAGCACUUUCAGUGGGGAAGAAAGCCUUGGGGCUAAUACCCUCGAGGAAGGACAUCACCCACAGAAGAAGCACCGGCUAACUCCGUGCCAGCAGCCGCGGUAAUACGGAGGGUGCGAGCGUUAAUCGGAAUUACUGGGCGUAAAGCGCGCGUAGGCGGUCUGAUAAGCCGGUUGUGAAAGCCCCGGGCUCAACCUGGGAACGGCAUCCGGAACUGUCAGGCUAGAGGGCAGGAGAGGAAGGUAGAAUUCCCGGUGUAGCGGUGAAAUGCGUAGAGAUCGGGAGGAAUACCAGUGGCGAAGGCGGCCUUCUGGACUGACACUGACGCGGAGGUGCGAAAGCGUGGGUAGCAAACAGGAUUAGAUCCCUAGUAGUC